AUUAGAAUUUAUUGAUUGACAAAAUUUGAAUUAAACUCCAUUAAAGGAGAAACAAUCAACUCCCUGAAAAGGAGGAAGAAAACAUCUCCAUACAAGGAGGAAAUCACUCCAUAAUAGGAGGAAAUGAAUCACUCCAUGAAAGGAGGAUGACAAACUCCAUAAAGGAGAAAAUGAAGCCUCCAUAAGGAGGGAUUGGAAUUCCACAUUCCAAUCAAACCAAAAAAAUGAAUACAAGAUCUGUAUUUAUAGAGAAAACAGGAGGCAGCCGAGAAGCUGAAACUGGAAGGAAUAUUCUGGAAUCUGUAAUAUUAUUUUGCUGAUGUGGAAUAUAUAUUCCAACA
RNAcentral lists this long non-coding RNA (341 nucleotides) under Olea europaea (common olive). RNAcentral's name for it is "long non-coding RNA (OEUR_LNC001040)". The record is from RNAcentral. Lineage: Eukaryota; Viridiplantae; Streptophyta; Magnoliopsida; Lamiales; Oleaceae.